This 237-nucleotide ribosomal RNA is filed under the name uncultured bacterium. RNAcentral's name for it is "partial 16S ribosomal RNA". It matches the Rfam family "Bacterial small subunit ribosomal RNA", at positions 100 to 334 of the family's 1533-position model. The record is from RNAcentral.
CCGGCACGGGUGAGUAACACGUAUCCAACCUGCCGUCUACUCUUGGACAGCCUUCUGAAAGGAAGAUUAAUACAAGAUGGCAUCAUGAGUCCGCAUGUUCACAUGAUUAAAGGUAUUCCGGUAGACGAUGGGGAUGCGUUCCAUUAGAUAGUAGGCGGGGUAACGGCCCACCUAGUCUUCGAUGGAUAGGGGUUCUGAGAGGAAGGUCCCCCACAUUGGAAUUGAGACACGGUCCAA